CUAAGUUUGAUGGCGACCGGCGCACGGGUGAGUAACACGUAUCCAACCUGCCGAUGACUCGGGGAUAGCCUUUCGAAAGAAAGAUUAAUACCCGAUGGCAUAGUUCUUCCGCAUGGUAGAACUAUUAAAGAAUUUCGGUCAUCGAUGGGGAUGCGUUCCAUUAGGUUGUUGGCGGGGUAACGGCCCACCAAGCCUUCGAUGGAUAGGGGUUCUGAGAGGAAGGUCCCCCACAUUGGAACUGAGACACGGUCCAAACUCCUACGGGAGCAGCAUG
RNAcentral lists this ribosomal RNA (274 nucleotides) under uncultured bacterium. RNAcentral describes it as "partial 16S ribosomal RNA". It matches the Rfam family "Bacterial small subunit ribosomal RNA", at positions 79 to 353 of the family's 1533-position model. The record is from RNAcentral.